RNAcentral lists this transfer RNA (70 nucleotides) under Camelus bactrianus (Bactrian camel). It matches the Rfam family "tRNA". From Rfam's summary of the family: Transfer RNA (tRNA) molecules are approximately 80 nucleotides in length. Lineage: Eukaryota; Metazoa; Chordata; Mammalia; Artiodactyla; Camelidae. The record is from Rfam by way of RNAcentral. RNAcentral also lists the same sequence under 2 other names.
GGAGAUAGCUUAGUUUUAGAGUGCAUGCUUAGCAUGCAUGAGGUUCUGGGUUCAAUCCCCAGCACCUCCA